GCCCUCUUGGCUUAGUGGUAAAGCGUAUCACUAGUAUUUCCAACAGCUCUUGCGAGUUGCCCUGGUUAGCAAAUGAUAAGAUCGCUCGUUCGAUUCGGGCAGAGGGCA
Ascochyta rabiei is the source of this 108-nucleotide transfer RNA. It matches the Rfam family "tRNA". From Rfam's summary of the family: Transfer RNA (tRNA) molecules are approximately 80 nucleotides in length. Their secondary structure includes four short double-helical elements and three loops (D, anti-codon, and T loops). The record is from Rfam. Lineage: Eukaryota; Fungi; Ascomycota; Dothideomycetes; Pleosporales; Didymellaceae.